This 273-nucleotide ribosomal RNA is filed under the name uncultured Roseomonas sp. RNAcentral's name for it is "partial 16S ribosomal RNA". It matches the Rfam family "Bacterial small subunit ribosomal RNA", at positions 524 to 796 of the family's 1533-position model. The record is from RNAcentral. Lineage: Bacteria; Pseudomonadati; Pseudomonadota; Alphaproteobacteria; Acetobacterales; Roseomonadaceae.
UACGUAGGGUGCGAGCGUUGUCCGGAAUUACUGGGCGUAAAGGGCGCGUAGGCGGCCCUGUUAGUCAGGCGUGAAAUGCCCAGGCUCAACCUGGGGACUGCGCUUGAUACGGCAGGGCUCGAGGAUGGAAGAGGGCCGCGGAAUUCCCAAUGUAGAGGUGAAAUUCGUAGAUAUUGGGAAGAACACCGGUGGCGAAGGCGGCGGCCUGGUCCAUUACUGACGCUGAGGCGCGACAGCGUGGGGAGCAAACAGGAUUAGAUACCCGUGUAGUCC